AACGCUCAAUUGCUGUAAUCAGGGAGGAGGAACAAUUAUAGCAAUUUCAGAGAAGCGCGAGGCAUGCGGGAAAAUUGGAGCCACAUGAGCAGAGGGUGUUCCCUACCCGCGAGGCUCCUGAGCAGAUGGUAUAAGAGCUCUUCCUCCUCCGCUCUCCUCCAGCCCAAUCUGCUGAACCUUGUGAAGAAUCAGAUUUGCCUCCCACCACAGAGUCAUGGUUUUCCCUGGGGAGCUUUGUGGCUACAACGUCUCCUGCAGCACAAGCCUCCCCUCAACAACACUCCUAUUGCAACCACCAGCUGUUGUGGCUGAAACAAAGCUGACGGACCUAGAGAUCCUCAUCCCGGAGCCCCCACCAUGUGAAAUCCCAGAAUGUGGCUUCGAUCCAUGCCACUUGCCUCCGUGGUACUGCCACCUGCCUCCUGAGCCGCCCAUCAUAUUUGCCACCUUCGCCACCUGCCUGCACGAAGCAUAAGUGUGGCCUGCCGGCGGCCAUCUUGCGAUAGGCCCGUUUCAGGCAGGAGGUGCUGCAGACAGGAAGUGGGGGCUGCAUUAGGAACGGGAGUCAGGAGCAAUGCUCCACACGUUGAGGCCACACUUGUUAUUGGCGCCUGUCCUUAAAGGUUCAGGAUCGGUGGCUGUCAUCCAUUUUGUAUAUCCAUGUAGUAGAAGUUUGAAAACAACAACAAUAAUAAUCACAGGUGCUGUGAAUUACAGUUUUAGCCCGAGUCUUUCUUUUUGCAGUGGGGCAAUUCAGGUGACUAUGUCCAGAACAUUCCAGAAGACGCAGGUUGAGAGGUGGGAGGAGGUGGAGGAAGAGGUGGAAGAAGAGUUAGUAGGCCUAAAAUAGCAUCAAGGGAACCUUUGGUCCUCCAGACACUGUUGAGCAUCAUCAAUGGUUGGGGGUGAUUGGAGCUAUUUGCUGGAUCCUACAUUCCCGUUCCUUGGCCUAAACCAUACCUCAAGGGUGGUUGACCAGUGAUCAUCCAGAUAUGGCGAAACUACAACUCCAGUCAACCCCAGCCAGUAUUGCCAGUGAUCAAUGGAAUUGGAAACUGUAGUUCAUUAGCCUCUCGAGGGCCACAGGCCCCCAUCCCUGUCAUAAGUCUGCCCCCAGUUAAAGCUUUCUUUAUUGGCCAUCAGAUUGCUACCUAAACUGCUGGUACCAGAGGCACAUUUCCCCCUCCCAUUUAAAUAUCAGUUUUACAUCAUCCAGGUAUUUCCUUUCCAAGUGUGUGUAAAAGGGGAGAACUAAAUGUCGUUGGAGUUGCCCACCCAACUGUAAUGGCAAUGCCUCCUUGGAGAGUAUUAUUGAGCCUCUGCGUCAUUAGGCACCCCUAAUGCAGAUUUGUACAUUCUUCGAGCCAGAUACCUUUCUUCUUAUGCUAUGUAGAGUGCUGUGUACAUAGAAGGUGAAAUAAAUAAUAUUAUGAAACAAAAGCAUCUGGUUCAAUCAGAGGUAUGUUGGAAGGAGAGAAUACCAGCACAGAGGACUUUGUGGGCCACAGAGCACAAAACACAGUCUGGAUAUUAAUACAGUGGUACCUCUACUUAUGGAUUUAAUGCAUUCCAAACGCACAUUUGUAAGUCGAAAAAAAUUGUAAGUCGAAUCCCAGAGGAAUGCAUUGGGAGAAAAAAAUUGUAAGUAGAAGCAACCCUAUCUAAAAAUUCAUAAGUAGAAAAAAUCCUAUCUAAACCGCAUCCAAGAUGGCGGACGGAGCUCCAUUCGUAAGUAGAAACAUUCGUAAGUAGAGUUAUUCGUAAGUAGAGGUACCACUGUAGUGUAAAUGUCAACAUUUUAAUGAAGGUGGGGAGAACCAGCCAUAACUUAUGUCAUGCAAAGAAACUGGCAAAGCCCAUCUGAUGACAUCAUUAAAGUCA
Zootoca vivipara (common lizard) is the source of this 1881-nucleotide long non-coding RNA. RefSeq lists it as uncharacterized. NCBI's taxonomy places the organism in Eukaryota, Metazoa, Chordata, Lepidosauria, Squamata, Lacertidae. The record is from RefSeq and is a predicted model, not a curated record.